UCCGAAGGGGGCUAUCGUUGUUCGGAAUUACUGGGCGUAAAGCGCACGUAGGCGGAUAUUUAAGUCAGGGGUGAAAUCCCGCAGCUCAACUGCGGAACUGCCUUUGAUACUGGGUAUCUUGAGUAUGGAAGAGGUAAGUGGAAUUCCGAGUGUAGAGGUGAAAUUCGUAGAUAUUCGGAGGAACACCAGUGGCGAAGGCGGCUUACUGGUCCAUUACUGACGCUGAGGUGCGAAAGCGUGGGGAGAAAACAGG
Molecule: ribosomal RNA, 253 nt
Filed under: uncultured bacterium
Lineage: Bacteria
Description: partial 16S ribosomal RNA
Rfam family: Bacterial small subunit ribosomal RNA
Source: RNAcentral